RNAcentral lists this ribosomal RNA (425 nucleotides) under uncultured bacterium. RNAcentral describes it as "partial 16S ribosomal RNA". It matches the Rfam family "Bacterial small subunit ribosomal RNA", at positions 354 to 796 of the family's 1533-position model. The record is from RNAcentral.
GUGGGGAAUAUUGGACAAUGGGCGCAAGCCUGAUCCAGCCAUGCCGCGUGAGUGAUGAAGGCCUUAGGGUUGUAAAGCUCUUUCAGUGGGGACGAUAAUGACGGUACCCACAGAAGAAGCCCCGGCUAACUUCGUGCCAGCGGCCGCGGUAAUACGAAGGGGGCUAGCGUUGUUCGGAUUUACUGGGCGUAAAGCGCACGUAGGCGGAUCGUUAAGUCGGGGGUGAAAUCCUGGAGCUCAACUCCAGAACUGCCUUCGAUACUGGCGAUCUUGAGUCCGGAAGAGGUGAGUGGAACUCCUAGUGUAGAGGUGGAAUUCGUAGAUAUUAGGAAGAACACCAGUGGCGAAGGCGGCUCACUGGUCCGGUACUGACGCUGAGGUGCGAAAGCGUGGGGAGCAAACAGGAUUAGAUACCCGAGUAGUCC